CUCAUUAAAACCAAGCCCCCACAAUGCCGCUCAGAAAAUGGUCCCAACCCGGAAGUAAGAAAAAUUGCAGUUCCACCCUCAUCCGCUGGGGGCUGGUACCAGAAGCGAGCAAAUCCUCAUUGACUCCCAUGUUAAAAAUGCCAUUUUCACAGCAGAAAUAAACAUGUUUACAGCCUGGUUCAAAAAAUGGUUUUUUGUCUAAAUUAUCUAGUUUAUACUCAUGACAACUCUGAGGGGGGUGAAUUUUUUUCUCACUCUUCUGUUUAAGUGUAUUGAAAGCCUAAAAUUCUGUAUAAUUAAUGAGCAUCCGACACACGUGACCGCCGCCUCAGACCCACGUGACCACAGAGCUAGCUCCGUGGAAAGGCCUCAGUACAGCCUCGGUCUCUCCUGGAAACUGUGUCGGGAUUUUGAGUCUCUGUGCUUGUGAAUUCUGUUUUGGAUAAUAUUGGUGCAAUUGUUGGACAAAAUGACUUGCUGUGGUAUUAAUUGCACUAAUAGAGCGUCCAAGGAGUCUCCACUUCAUUUUUUUCGGGAAGGACCUGAUUGGUGUCCAGAACCUGCUGAAGAAGCACCAGGCUCUGCAGGCUGAGAUCACAGGUCAUGAACCUCGCAUCAAGGCUGUCACCCAGAAAGGAGAGACCAUAAUGGAGGAAGGUCACUUCGCUGGUUCAGAACCCUCGGCCCGUCAGAACAUUCUUAUCCACCACGUUCUAACACCAGACCUGUUAACCCAACAGCAACAAGUGGCUCCAACUGACGAUGAGACCGGGAAGGAGCUGGUUCUGGCUCUGUACGACUACCAGGAGAAGAGUCCUGGAGAGGUCACCAUGAAGAAGGGCGACAUCCUCACGCUGCUCAACAGCACCAACAAGGUUGUUUUACUUGAACUCGCGUCUUUAGCUGAAUGAGGAUGGAGAGACGGGUCGGACCUGGAGCAGGUCGAGGUCUUGCAGAAGAAGUUUGACGACUUCCAGAAGGACCUGAAGGCCAACGAGUCCCGCCUGAGGGACAUCAACAAGGUGGCAUCUGAACUGGAGUCAGAAGGUCUGAUGGCUGAGGAGGCUCCUAUGGUUCAGGCUCAGCAACAAGAACAUCUGGGUUCUGCUCCUGGAAAGGUGCGUGUUGUCCUCCGCCUCCACCAGAACCAGACGUGGUGUUUUUGUUACCACUCAUUUGUUUGUUUACAGGAUGAAGCCGUCUCUAACCCCGGCUUUCCACAGGAGUCGUCAGCAGCACGUUACUGCAGCAGCACGUCAUAGCUGCUGAUAGGAACCGCUGUGGUCAACAGAACCUUUUCCACCGGAGCCGUCAGCAGCGCGAGUCGGCCGCGUCUCAGGAGCAGCAUGUCGCGGCCCUUACGCGCCGGUUCUAUUUUCUACGCGCGACGCCUCUGAAACGGGUCAAGUUCGACAUUUUUGGGGAAGGAAAGACAGGAAAUCGGACGCGGAAAUUGAGAGAAGCUACCGAGAUUUUCAGAAUAAAGAACGUACUGCCUUCCGGUUGCUUUACUUUUAAAAAAGGUUACUAACUGAGCGGCCCCGUGAGAAGUUAUCACCUAGCUAGCGGUCUCCUUUGUUUUUCAGGUCCGUAUUGGCGAUUAUAAAACGGACAGAACAUAAAACACAAACCAUGUUGUAAGUUUCUCCUGCUUGUUGUUGUGUUUACUGACGAAGUCACUCGAGUGACUUCGUGCUCGGUCGGUGACAGCUGCUCCCCUGCUGCUUCGCGUCUCGUGGGAAGGGCCAAGCAGCAGCUUACGCGAGCAAGACGUGCUGCUGCAGUAUUGUGCUGCUGACGGCUCCCGUGGAAACCCGGGGUAAGACGGCGUCACCCUAGAAGGUGAGUUCAUUCAGCUGAUCAGAGGUCACCUCUGAUGGCCGCAGUCACGGCCGACCGUGCUGAAAUCACACAGGAAUUCAGGUGACCCGGCAGGCACCAGGUGCUGGUGAAAGUGGGGACAUGUCAGCUGGUUGCCAUGGCUACAGUUAUCUUUAUGCAUCUGUAUGACUGCUGACUGGUGUGUGUUUCCUGUGACCUUUGACCUCAGACCGUACGGUUGGGCGUUCAGACGACGGCUAACUUUAAUUCCAUCAAGGAGCUGAACAACCGCUGGCGCUCGCUGCAACAUGCUGGGCAGCGCCCAUGAGGUGUAGCGCUUCCACAGAGACGCUGAUGAGACCAAAGAGUGGAUCGAGGAGAAGAACCAGGCCCUGAACACAGACAACUACGGCCACCACCUGGCCAGCGUUCAGGCUCUGCAGCGUGAACAUGAAGGCUUUGAGCGUGACCUGGCAGCUCUGGGUGAUAAGGUCCGCUUUCCUGAUCGGUACCAGGACCCGAGUUGUCUCUGGAGACACGUUCUUCAUGGUUCUGGUGACUCCACCCCAGCCGUUCCUGAUCAGCGAUCAGCGGGGUGCUUUCUUAUUUAAGGUGGAUGGAGGACAAAAUUUGACGCCAGAAGAUUGCCUCAGUUUUGGAUUCCUGUCGACCUCAUUGGAUACUGACCUCUACUCCAGGAUUUGGAUAUUCAACACACGGACCUUAUCACCACCCUCCAUAACCCACCUCUCAUCUCACCCGUUGCCCCAUCCACCAGGACGCCCCGCUUCUCUCCACCUCUGCUCCCUCUCCUGCGCUUCCCCGGCUCUCUACCUCUCCCUCCUCCAGCCAACCCAUACACCCACCACAGUAAGUCUGCUGAACACCUCUGCCUGCCUACAAUGGAUUUUGAAACCAGAACCUAAGCUCACCUGUGUUCUCCCUCCUCCAGAUGCUGAGCUGUUGUUGCAGUUCCAACCACAGACUUAUCUGUGCACCUUAAGUUCCUCCUUAUAAAUAAAUCAUUUUUUCCAUCAGUUUUUGGUCAGUGUUGUAUUCUGCAUGUCUUGGGUUAAGUACCUUCCUCCAAACAUGACACUCCUCUUCAAAGAGCAAAUCUGUUCAGCACAUUCUGACAGACCGACCACCAUUCUUCUGUCAUGAUGCUGUACAGGACAUUUUUAGAGUUUUUCUUUUUAAAGAUAAAUAGGAUUACAUUUAAAUAGCAAUACUUUCACAUUAUCAUUUUCCCACACUUCUGUAUAACUGUAUUUUGUUGUUUUUCAAUAAAGAAUGACAAACUAUUUAAGUUUGGAUUUGUUGCACACAAAUAUAUAUCUGUAAAAAAUAUCUACAAAGCUAAUGUAUACAUAACAAGUAUGAUUGGGUUUUGCAAUACGGCACUAUUUUAGUAAGAGUUUUAAACCAAGUAAAGUUAGUAAAGAACACAUUUCUAUUGUCUGCUAAGAAACUGUUGGGAUUUAAAAUGGGCCUGUUGUACAAAUAACUUGUAAAUGAUUAUUCCUCACUUUUGUCUUAACCAAAGAAAUUCCAGUAAUUGAGCAAAAACAUUUAUUUUUAACACUACAUUUUAUAAAACAGGGCGCAAAGUGUCGGCACAUGUAUGUAUGUCGAUGGUCCACCCCAACCGAACCAGGAGACACAGACGUCAGGGAGGCCAAGGUUGUCUCUGCAGCUCUCUGGGCACCACGCCUCACUCAGCUGUCUCCAAUGAUCCAAAUGGCUAUGGAGAAAAAAUAACAGGUCCUGCUACUUAUACUCCGGAGCGACUUAUAUAACAAAAUAUGUAGGCUACACCACGCUGCUG
Nothobranchius furzeri (turquoise killifish) is the source of this 3649-nucleotide non-coding RNA. Lineage: Eukaryota; Metazoa; Chordata; Actinopteri; Cyprinodontiformes; Nothobranchiidae. The record is from RefSeq and is a predicted model, not a curated record.